This 334-nucleotide ribosomal RNA is filed under the name uncultured bacterium. RNAcentral's name for it is "bacterial SSU rRNA". It matches the Rfam family "Bacterial small subunit ribosomal RNA", at positions 30 to 362 of the family's 1533-position model. The record is from RNAcentral.
AUUGAACGCUGGCGGCAUGCCUUACACAUGCAAGUCGAACGGCAGCACGGGAGCAAUCCUGGUGGCGAGUGGCGAACGGGUGAGUAAUAUAUCGGAACGUGCCCAGUCGUGGGGGAUAACGCAGCGAAAGUUGUGCUAAUACCGCAUACGAUCUAUGGAUGAAAGCGGGGGAGUCGCAAGACCUCGCGCGAUUGGAGCGGCCGAUAUCAGAUUAGGUUGUUGGUGAGGUAAAAGACUCACCAAGCCUGCGAUCUGUAGCUGGUCUGAGAGGACGACCAGCCACACUGGAACUGAGACACGGUCCAGACUCCUACGGGAGGCGGCAGUGGGGAAG